This 2812-nucleotide long non-coding RNA is filed under the name Homo sapiens (human). Its description in RNAcentral is "HSALNT0305192". The record is from RNAcentral. Lineage: Eukaryota; Metazoa; Chordata; Mammalia; Primates; Hominidae.
GGACCGGAGGCGCGACCCCUCGGCCCACCUUGAGGCCCGGCCUAGGACUGGAGGCGCGACCCCUCGGCCCACCUUGAGGCCCGGCCUAGGACCGGAGGCGCGACCCCUGGGCCCACCUUGAGGCCCGGCCUAGGACUGGAGGCGCGACCCCUCGGCCCACCUUGAGGCCCGGCCUAGGACCGGAGGCGCGACCCCUGGGCCCACCUGGCGGCCCGGCCGGCACAGCCCGCCUCUCCUCUCCAGGCCAGGGCCCCACACCUUCCGCCUGACAGCCAGCCAAGCUCUUCAGUCCCCCGCCCUCCACCUGCCAGGGAGGCUCCGGGCGUUGUACCUGCCACCACGGGACGGAGUUUUGCUCUUGUUGCCCAAGCUGGAGUGCAAUGGUGCGAUCUUCGCUUACUGCAACCUCUGCUUCCUGGGUUCAAGUGAUUCCCCUGCCUCAGCCUCCCGAGUAGCAGGGAUUACAGGUACAAAGCACUGGGAAUACAACCUUGAACAAGACAAGAAUCCUGGCCUUCAAGGAACUUCGAACCUUUUGGGGGAUAUGAUAAGACACAUUAGGAAUCACCAUGUUAAUGGUUAUCUUUCUUGAAGGAUAUAAGUCCAGACACAUAUACUCACAGAAAUGAGUUAUUUAAAGAAGACGGUCCAGAUUCCACAGUCCAAAAAAAAAAGAGGUUUGCCCUGCUUCUGAAGGAGUCAGGGUAUGAAUGCAGAGGUCUUCCUGUUGGCUCACAUAUCAGAUCUUCAACGUCAACAUUAAAUGCGAGUGAUGCUUCCCCCUCUGUGAAUGUGGCUUUGGGUAUGGCUAAUCCACACCCUGCACUCUGGCCUUCAGAAGCCCAGGGAGAGAAGCCUCCCAGAAGCAACCUUCCAGAACCUUCUCCAUCCUCCCACCGACCUCCCCAGCCCCUGUCCUCUCUUUGAAUCUCGUUGUCAAGUUCUUCCCGCAGACACCUGGCUCCUUGAGGGGAGGUGCAGCUUUCAUCUGACCAUGCAGGCGUGCUUUGCAGUGGGUAGAGCAGUGCUUUCCUCCUCCCAGCUGCACACUGGAAUCACCUGGAGAGUCCAGAAACUUCCCGCCUCAGUGAAAGAACAUCAGUGUAUCAGCACAGCAAAUAUUCCAAAUGCCAGGCUGGAUUCCCUCCAAUUACCAGGACCUCCAGGCUUCUCCUCCUUUCAAGAACUUUCUGACCCUGGAUCCAGUCUAAAUGUUGGUUAUAAACUCACCUGACAUCCACAGGGCCCUUCCAAAAUACUGUCAAGGCUGACUGCUGGUGCCUGGAACCUGCACACCCUCCUGGGACUCUGCAUCUCUGCUGGGGCUGGUUUCUCCUCUGAGCCACCUUAAGGAAUCCCACCCUGACCCGGUCAGAGCUCACCAUGCCUCCCUCUCCUACUUGCUCAGCAUUUUGUGUCUAUCUAGACUGAAGCCUUUGCUUUCUCUCUGUGAUUAUGGUGAAAGUUCAGUUUGCUUUCCUAUCUCUAGAAUGUCAGCACGAAGGCAGAGGCAUGGUCUCCUGAGUUCCAUAACCCCAAAGCCUAACUCCCUGCCUGCCACACUGAGGGGCUUAGUAGACAUUGACUUACUAAAUUGAAUAGUUGAGUAAUAAUGCUCUUUGAAAUAAUUUGGAGUUAGAUCUUGAGCCUUGUGUGGCCAGAGGAUGGGUGAGGACACAUCAUAAAAACUAAAGGUAACUGAGCAUGCCAGUGGUUGGGGUGAGAAAUUUGCAUGGAGCACUCCAGACACAGAGGCAGCAAAACCCAAGUGCUGGGAAGUCAGAGUGAGAGAGUGAAGGGGCAGUGAGUGCUUCUUUAGGAGCUGGAUCAAAACCUAAGAUGAUCUGGCCACAUGGUGCAGACUGAGCACACACUUGGGAGAGAAAUGGGCCAGGAGGAGAGGAGAGAGGUUCACCACAGGACAGUGGAUGACUGGGAAUAGAAGCCCUCCCCAUGGUGGACCAAGAAGUCUGUGAAGCUGAGAGAAAGACAAAAGAAAUCACGACUUCUGUAGGUAGCUGGGAUGGAAACCUCAGGGGUGACAGGGUCUUUAAAGGAAAUCUCAAGGAAGGCAUCAUGUUCUGGGUGUGCUCCAGGGAUGCUGAGUAAGAAAAGACCAGCCUUUCUGUGUGUGUCUUUACUCUGCCACAAGGCACCUGGGCUCCUAAAUGACCAAUACACAUGUGCUAUACUGGUGCCAAGAAAGAAGGGUGUUUUGUAGGAAAGUCAAGGUGAGAGGAGGUGCCCAGGACUUGGCUCCUUUCUUUGAAGGGUGACGGUGUAAAUUCUCCAUGCUGGGGAUCCUACUGAUGGAUGGAGGCAUGUCGAUCUCAUCAUUUCACAGAGUGGGGAGCUAUGGCCACAACGUGCCUAUCACACAAGUCCAGCCUCACGUCAGCUGGACACCAGCUGUUCUGACACUUGUCAGCACAUGGGGCACCCGGAAGUUCAUGGUGUUCUGCAAAGAACGCCACAAAACAGUGAGCUCAACUUCUUGAAAGUCAUAAUGUGUUGCUAAGUCCGAUCCCAGAUCCUAAAAAUAAUAUGAGGUAGUGGCCAUUGAACAGAAAAAAUUUACAUCUUAAACUUGAAGAUAAGUACAAGUGUACCUUUUUCUACCACUGUUGUUCAGUUUUAUUAUAUUGACAAGCACCUCUGCCCACCCUGUGGGGUAAAACUGUUUGAAAGUGUUUAUGAAAGUUUUAUAUAAAUAUUGGUUGAUCAAAUGUACAAAAUAUGCAUGAUGGCACCAUAUUGUGUAUAAUAGUGACAAAUACAGUCUAUGUGGGUGGAGAAACAAGCUCGGUGUUGU